UGCGUAGGCGGCCCUGUGUGUCAGAGGUGAAAGCUCACGGCUCAACCGUGGAAUUGCCUUUGAAACUGCAGGGCUUGAGUCCGAGAGAGGAAGGUGGAAUUCCUGGUGUAACGGUGAAAUGUGCAGAUAUCAGGAAGAACCACCCGUGGCGAAGGCGGCCUUCUGGCUCGGAACUGACGCUGAGGCACGAAAGCUAGGGUAUCGAACG
This 208-nucleotide ribosomal RNA is filed under the name uncultured bacterium. RNAcentral describes it as "partial 16S ribosomal RNA". It matches the Rfam family "Bacterial small subunit ribosomal RNA", at positions 568 to 774 of the family's 1533-position model. The record is from RNAcentral.